RNAcentral lists this ribosomal RNA (740 nucleotides) under uncultured marine bacterium. RNAcentral describes it as "bacterial SSU rRNA". It matches the Rfam family "Bacterial small subunit ribosomal RNA", at positions 9 to 795 of the family's 1533-position model. The record is from RNAcentral.
GAGUUUGAUCCUGGCUCAGAACGAACGCUGGCGGCAGGCCUAACACAUGCAAGUCGAGCGCGCCUUUCGGGGUGAGCGGCGGACGGGUUAGUAACGCGUGGGAAUAUACCCUUUGGUACGGAAUAGCCUCUGGAAACGGAGAGUAAUACCGUAUGUGCCCUUCGGGGGAAAGAUUUAUCGCCAAAGGAUUAGCCCGCGUUAGAUUAGGUAGUUGGUGGGGUAAUGGCCUACCAAGCCUACGAUCUAUAGCUGGUUUUAGAGGAUGAUCAGCAACACUGGGACUGAGACACGGCCCAGACUCCUACGGGAGGCAGCAGUGGGGAAUCUUGGACAAUGGGGGCAACCCUGAUCCAGCCAUGCCGCGUGAGUGAUGAAGGCCUUAGGGUCGUAAAGCUCUUUCGCCUGUGAAGAUAAUGACGGUAGCAGGUAAAGAAACCCCGGCUAACUCCGUGCCAGCAGCCGCGGUAAUACGGAGGGGGUUAGCGUUGUUCGGAAUUACUGGGCGUAAAGCGCACGUAGGCGGACUGGAAAGUUGGGGGUGAAAUCCCGGGGCUCAACCCCGGAACUGCCUCCAAAACUAUCAGUCUAGAGUUCGAGAGAGGUGAGUGGAAUUCCGAGUGUAGAGGUGAAAUUCGUAGAUAUUCGGAGGAACACCAGUGGCGAAGGCGGCUCACUGGCUCGAUACUGACGCUGAGGUGCGAAAGUGUGGGGAGCAAACAGGAUUAGAUACCCUGGUAGUC